AUUGAACGCUGGCGGCGGGCCUAAUACAUGCAAGUCGAGCGGAUGAAGGGAGCUUGCUCCUGGAUUCAGCGGCGGACGGGUGAGUAAUGCCUAGGAAUCUGCCUGGUAGUGGGGGAUAACGUCCGGAAACGGGCGCUAAUACCGCAUACGUCCUGAGGGAGAAAGUGGGGGAUCUUCGGACCUCACGCUAUCAGAUGAGCCUAGGUCGGAUUAGCUAGUUGGUGGGGUAAAGGCCUACCAAGGCGACGAUCCGUAACUGGUCUGAGAGGAUGAUCAGUCACACUGGAACUGAGACACGGUCCAGACUCCUACGGGAGGCAGCAGUGGGGAAUAUUGGACAAUGGGCGAAAGCCUGAUCCAGCCAUGCCGCGUGUGUGAAGAAGGUCUUCGGAUUGUAAAGCACUUUAAGUUGGGAGGAAGGGCAGUAAGUUAAUACCUUGCUGUUUUGACAUUACCAACAGAAUAAGCACCGGCUAACUUCGUG
RNAcentral lists this ribosomal RNA (484 nucleotides) under uncultured bacterium. RNAcentral's name for it is "partial 16S ribosomal RNA". It matches the Rfam family "Bacterial small subunit ribosomal RNA", at positions 30 to 507 of the family's 1533-position model. The record is from RNAcentral.